AUUGAGCAAGCACAUAGGGGCCGGGGACGGUUCUUCACUGCUGGGAUAUAGGACGGAAAAGGCAGACAGGAGCCCUUGGCCCCAAGGUUUCCAUUCUAGUGAAUCUUUAAAUCUCAGACUCUCAGAGCAAACAGAACCUCUGAUACUCUAACUCUACCUCCUCAGGAAACGGAAGCCCAAAGAGGAGGGGAGCUUACAGCAGGCCCUGGACUAGGGAUUAACACAAAAACAACAGCAACAAAUCUGAUUUAAGCUUCACACAUUCUUGCUCUGUUGCCAGGCUGGAGUGCAGUG
This 294-nucleotide long non-coding RNA is filed under the name Homo sapiens (human). RNAcentral describes it as "HSALNT0379824". Lineage: Eukaryota; Metazoa; Chordata; Mammalia; Primates; Hominidae. The record is from RNAcentral.